GGGGAAUUGUUCGCAAUGGGCGCAAGCCUGACGACGCAACGCCGCGUGGAGGAUGAAGAUCUUCGGGUCGUAAACUCCUGUCGAGCGGGAAGAACGUUUCGCGGAUGAAUAAGCCGCGAAAGUUACGGUACCGCUAAAGGAAGCCCCGGCUAACUCCGUGCCAGCAGCAGCGGUAAUACGGGGGGGGCAAGCGUUGUUCGGAAUUACUGGGCGUAAAGGGCGUGUAGGCGGGCCGGUAAGUUGGGGGUGAAAUCCCGAGGCUCAACCUCGGAACUGCCUCCAAAACUGGCGGCCUGGAGCAAGAUAGAGGCGAGUGGAAUUGCGAGUGUAGAGGUGAAAUUCGUAGAUAUUCGCAGGAACACCAGUGGCGAAGGCGACUCGCUGGAUCUUUGCUGACGCUGAGACGCGAAAGCGUGGGGAGCAA
RNAcentral lists this ribosomal RNA (424 nucleotides) under uncultured bacterium. RNAcentral describes it as "bacterial SSU rRNA". It matches the Rfam family "Bacterial small subunit ribosomal RNA", at positions 356 to 771 of the family's 1533-position model. The record is from RNAcentral.